GAUGAACGCUGGCGGCGUGCCUAAUACAUGCAAGUCGAGCGAACAGACGAGGAGCUUGCUCCUCUGACGUUAGCGGCGGACGGGUGAGUAACACGUGGAUAACCUACCUAUAAGACUGGGAUAACUUCGGGAAACCGGAGCUAAUACCGGAUAAUAUAUUGAACCGCAUGGUUCAAUAGUGAAAGACGGCUUUGCUGUCACGUAUAGAUGGAUCCGCGCCGCAUUAGCUAGUUGGUAAGGUAACGGCUUACCAAGGCAACGAUGCGUAGCCGACCUGAGAGGGUGAUCGGCCACACUGGAACUGAGACACGCUCCAGACUCCUACGGGAGGCAGCAGUAGGGAAUCUUCCGCAAUGGGCGAAAGCCUGACGGAGCAACGCCGCGUGAGUGAUGAAGGUCUUCGGAUCGUAAAACUCUGUUAUUAGGGAAGAACAAAUGUGUAAGUAACUAUGCCCGUCUUGACGGUACCUAAUCAGAAAGCCACGGCUAACUACGUG
This 497-nucleotide ribosomal RNA is filed under the name uncultured bacterium. RNAcentral describes it as "partial 16S ribosomal RNA". It matches the Rfam family "Bacterial small subunit ribosomal RNA", at positions 28 to 507 of the family's 1533-position model. The record is from RNAcentral.